Neoarius graeffei (lesser salmon catfish) is the source of this 475-nucleotide long non-coding RNA. RefSeq lists it as uncharacterized. The transcript is spliced from 2 exons. Lineage: Eukaryota; Metazoa; Chordata; Actinopteri; Siluriformes; Ariidae. The record is from RefSeq and is a predicted model, not a curated record.
GUUGCUGUGUGCAGACGAAUCGCUUUUAAAAACGUUAAUCUGAUGAUCCGCUGAUACGGUCUAAUGUAAACAUGGGCUAAGUGUUCAAAAUAAGAGGAACAUGUAUUUGUCUCUUAAAUCCAGGCCGUUCCCUGUAAUCUCAAACAGCGGUUGGAGAAAGUAAUGGCAAAUAGCGAGUGCACAAACCAUAGAAGGGAAACUGUACACAGCGCCAGGGCAGUGUGAUGCGGGGGCGUGGUCAAGCACCGGUCUGUGACAGGAGGGCGGAGUCGGGGAAGGUAAGUGGCAGAUUCACUUCACCUGAGAGCAAUUAACCUGUGUUUGUGUGUCUUCCCAGGGACCGCGCCCUAUUUAGGGAGGGAGAGCGAGAGCAGAGGAGAUCUCUCCCGAACCAGACACCUGAUGUGUGUGUGUCUGCGUUAAACCUAUUGUGUUCCCUGAAAAGUGAAACAAUAAAACUGUUUGUUGAACCUGA